Molecule: long non-coding RNA, 1842 nt
Organism: Brassica napus (rape)
Lineage: Eukaryota; Viridiplantae; Streptophyta; Magnoliopsida; Brassicales; Brassicaceae
Exons: 2
Source: RefSeq, a predicted model, not a curated record
AAUAACUAAAAACUGAAAAUUCAUACCCGCGCGUCUAGUAAAAUUAUUAAAAUAGGGUGAAUUAGCUAAAUAAUAAUAAUGAGAAAAUCAAAACUAAAUCAUUUUUUGUAAGAAGGCUCGUCGGGGUGAGGCACAUGAGUUUUCAGUAAAGGAAGGAAUAAUAAAGAGAAGAAAAGAAAGAAUAAUAAAGUUUCAGUAAUUUGGAUAUUGAUCAUAGGGACACACUUAAAUUAGCAUAAACAAAAUCAACACUUUGAGUCGAGGCACAUGAGUUGAACAUACAAAGGGCAUCACACCAUGUAGAGGUAACAAAUCUACCGUCAAUUCCAGGGAGAUGGUGUUUUACAGAUGGUUCUUAGAAAGAGAAAAGUUUUUUUCAAGACAAAAUUGGUAUAGUACUUUAGAAGGUUUUGACGGUUUGAUGGAGAGCGGGAAAUAAUGUUAGGACUAGUCUUUCCUCUUUUCAUGCGGAGGUUGGAAGCGCUACUUUGAGAAAUUGAGUGUAUGAAGAAUUUGCGACAGUUUCAUGUCACGUUUGCAAUCGAUUGUUCUCAAUUGGUGACGAUAGUUUCAGAACCAGAAGAAUGACCAGUUCUUACGAGUUAUUUAGAAGAUAUCAAGACUUUGAAAAAAACUUUCUCAGCUCAGAGGUCAUUCAUUUACCACAAACACAUAAUUCAAAUAUGGAUAGUCUAGCUUGUAGUGUCAAGACCUAAUCGUCUUUCGUUAUUCACAUGGAUGUAGAUUUCCAGUUUGGUUUACAGAGUUAUCUGUUAAGUUCAUGAAAAAAAAAACUGACCUUGUUUCUCAAAAUGGUAUGUCGGAAUGAACUAAAUCAUUGUCUAACUUUGGCUCAUUGUCUACGCAAACCGAUAAAAUUUCGUCCGUACUCGUGAAAACCACAAAUAUUUAAGUCACUAGAAACACACAUGAUCCUCUUUAUACAGUAAAAAUUCCAUAAACUAAUAAUAUAAGUAAUAUUUUAGUUUACAUUAUUUCUAAAAUAUUUUAUUUUAAAUGAAAACUAAUUAUUUAAAAGCUUUAUUGUUUUUACUUAAGGAUGCUGUACGGUUUUGCAAUCUCACGAGUCCCACAAGCAGCAUUACACAAAGACUGAUGAUCCAUAAUUUGUUUUUCUCCAUUUCCUAUGUAACCAUUUUUUUAGUAUGUGUGUAGGUGUAGCGUUUAACCUCUCUCUAGAACUACAACUUCCCGAUCAAGAUUCGUGUCCGGUGGUUGACGGCGGCUUUGCCGUCGGUCACCACCAUCUCUUGUUUUCGUUUGUACAUAAUCGAUCUAUAAAUCGAUCUUUUGUUGUGGUAAUAAAUUUUCAGUAAACUGGUUAAGGUGUUGAGGAUAGCAUCUCUGUUUGGGAGUUGAUGAGGUUUGAUGAGUUGCUUUAGCCAUCUGUGAAGUCGAUUAAGAAGAGUUGGCGUUCUACGGUCCAACAAAUGGUCGGUCUUCCAUUUUGGUUUAUGCAGCCUUUGCGUUAAAAUUCCGGUGAGUUAAAGCAAGACUAUUCAAGUAACCGAGGUUUAGUUGAAAGACACCGUAGUAUAAGCGAUUUGAACAGCGACAUGAAAGAGAAGAGACUUGGGAGUGGAGCUGUUAGAGUCACGGUGGAAAAGUCAUCUCGACGUUCGUGCCUUCCAGCACAUUGUAGAAGGAAAAUGUGUGGUUGCGUGCUAUCCUUGGAAUUCCUCAUCUGACAUGUGUUACUCACCACUUCCAUUAUUGUAUUUAUUAUAUUUGUAAUAUCUGUGUCGUUUGAUCCAAUCGCUUGUACUUUUUAUAAGGCCUUUGAGCCAAAUGAAAUAAAAGUACAUUGACAAAAAAAAAAAA